Long non-coding RNA from Hydra vulgaris (swiftwater hydra), 1222 nucleotides. RefSeq lists it as uncharacterized. NCBI's taxonomy places the organism in Eukaryota, Metazoa, Cnidaria, Hydrozoa, Anthoathecata, Hydridae. The record is from RefSeq and is a predicted model, not a curated record.
GUCAUCAAAUGCAACUAAAAAAAAAAAAAACAUUUAAAGCUGCAUCACUGUUUAAAGUAUUUAAAGAAAGUCACGUUCAUAUAAAAAAAAAAAAAAACUUUUUAAAGGAACGCAGCAAGUAGUGUUUUUUAAACGGAUGCAAUAUUUACAAGAUAAGAUUUGUCUUAUGCCUUGUUUAUGAUUUUAGUUGUUUAAGAUUUUAGAUUUUAUUUAUGAAACUUAUUUUUCCAUUCUAAAGUUGAGCAUUUUAAAGUUUUUAAAAAUGAUUUUGUUUUUUCGAAAAGACCUUGUAUGAUCUGUGGUGAAACUGUUUUUAAAAAGCUGCUUUAAAAACGUAUUUAGGGUUGGGGAUGCUUCGUUCAGCUGUACAUCUCUAGAUUCCCAGUCUAAAAGUCUUUAAAUUGUGAAGAAAAAGUUGUUGAUGAUAGAGCAAAUAAUGAAUCAGCUCAAAUUAAAUAUUUCAAUAAACACUAUAACUGUAAUUUGCAGUAUGAACGAUGAAAUAAAAAGUCAGAAAAGUUUUCAAAUCUUAAUGAGUGUGCUCAUUGCGAAACACUGUCAUUGUUGAUGUUGAUGUUUCACGAGAUGGUGUAUCGAAACGAACAUGUUACUAUAUCUAUCAAUAGUGGAAGUAGAGUUUGUAAAGAUCAACUUAUAGGAUCAUUGUUUUAAUGCUACCAAAAAAGAAAUGUGACCCGUUAUUUCUUGCUGGCGAAGAACUGUACAAAGUGUAAUUAAAUAGAACCACAUUGUAUUUUGAUUACAAUAUCAUGUUGUAUUUUGAUUACAAUGGGUCGCAUUGCGAUGAACGAUAACAUUAUUUAUCACUAAUUUAAUUAACUUAACCUAGAUUAACGGAAUGCAUAAAUUAAUUAGUUAACCAAAACUUAACCUUAUAUUUAGCAAGUUUCAAAAUACAAGAAAAUAACUGUCAAAAAAAAAGUAUUUCCCGACGUUUUGACAAUGUCAUGUCUAUCUGUUAUUUAAUCAUUCAUUUCUAAAUUCCAAUAAUUAUGCAGCAAGAGCACUGAUUAGAAAAACCUAAAUAGUGAUUAAAAUGGCGUGACAAAACAUUUCCAAUAAUGGUUUUAAAAGGUUUAACUCUGGGUAGUUUACUAUAUGCAAAUGGUCCGCAAGCAAUUGUGAAAUUCGAAAAUUGUUAUUUAGUUUAAGUAAAGCAUUAAGUUGAGUUUUCACAACACAUUUUUACGUUUUGUUUUUA